This is a long non-coding RNA of Brachypodium distachyon (stiff brome), 5256 nucleotides long. RefSeq lists it as uncharacterized. Lineage: Eukaryota; Viridiplantae; Streptophyta; Magnoliopsida; Poales; Poaceae. The record is from RefSeq and is a predicted model, not a curated record. The transcript has 3 exons.
UGGCGACUCUAUUUGUUGUAUAACUGGGAGCAGCAGAGCAGAGCAAAGAUCGAGAUGAGAAGAGAGUGUGGUGCAUGGGAGUGGAGGCUCUGCGCUGAGCUGGAACAGAGACUCUCGGUCAGCUUAUAUAGAGGAAGACUAGAAGACUGGACUUAGAGUGAGGGCAGUGAGUUGUACUAUGGGGAAGCAAUGAUGGUUUGUCCGGCGGUCAGGGGGAAGGAUGAUUGGGGACUGGGCUGGGCAGCCAUUGCCAGGACUCCUGUAUGUGCUCCUCCUCUUCAUGACCAUUCUAAUGGCAUUGCCAAUGCUUGAGAGCUAGUCCUACUAGCAUGCAAUGGAAUGCAUGGGAAAAUGUACUUACUCAGCCUAGCUAGCUGCCACAGCCAUUUUAAUUUCCCCAUGAAUAUCCCACCAGUUAAUUUCCCCAUGAAUAUCCCCCCACUCCAGUACUCCUACUCCAAUUCUUGUCUUGAGUUGCAUACUGCUGGUCCAGAUUCAAGGGUAGGGACCAUUUGCCAUUGACAGUGUACUACUGGCGAUUGAUUAUGAAGUUGUUGGUGCUAAUCAAGGACUCACUAGUGCUACUACUACUUGAGCAGACAGCUGUCAUCUGCUGCUGCUGCUGCUUUCCAUAUUCUGAAUCCGGGUGGGAGGGAGGAAAAAGGAGGGGGGCCAAUGUGCCGGGCCUCUGCUGGGAGCACCAUCAAUAAGCAGCAAGGAAGCAAAGAGAAGCAAGCGCUGGCUGCACUGCACUCCCCUGUCUGGCCUUCCCAAUGCACUCAGCCACCUGUUAGUCCAGAAAGGAAACAUUUUUCCUGGAUACAUGAACUCUAUGGAGUAUAUUGACCAUUGCAGCCACUGUGGGUACUUCUUUGCAACAACAUAUAUAUAUAUAUAUAUAUAUAUAUAUAUAUAUAUAUAUAUAUAUAUAUAUAUAUAUAAUAUAUAUAGUAUGGCAGCUAGCUGCAAGCAAAUGUGUUUGUUUUCUUGUUCUUUUUUCUUUUGUGCAGGCCUGAAGAGGAGCUAGCUUCUUCUUCUUCGAGAUGCAUGGGAUGCGUUGCUGCAUGAGCCAAUAGGAGCAGAGGAGUAUGAGGACAAAGUUUCAAAGGUGGCAGGGAGUCCUAGAGAUGUGUCGACAAGGAGGAAUGAUGGGUUUCCUUGUACCCGUACAAAUCUCUCAGUCCGCGGCCAACACAACCCCCAUGCUUCCAUGCAAUGCAAUGCCAAUGCAAUGGCUUGGCCGCCUUUUGAGGUCCUUCUCCCUCUCGCCCGGGCCUCCAGUCCGGCAAUCAUGCCCAAUAUAUGCUCUCGUGCCCCCUUCUUCUUCCUCUCCAUUAUGACUACUCCGUUUCUCUAGGGCACACGUCGGGCCCCGCAUGUCGGUCAAGCCCUUGAGAAACUCAUGACAGUCUUAAUUCCAACACACAACUUCUACAAAAAAAAAAUGUUUCUAUUGUGAUGAUACUGUGUAAAUUAAGAAGACUACAAAUUAGUCUGGAUUGACAACAUUUCUAACAUAGUCUAUGUUGCUUGUAAAACAUGCAUGCUUGUAGUAUACUAGUACUGCAUAUAUGCGGUGGCUUCAUUAUAGUAUUAGGAUUGUCUUUUUGGUCCAAUCCAAUUCAAACACCACAGCUUCAUCGGUGCAUGCAAUCCAUCUCGUGGCAAGUGCUAAACCCUUUUAAGAAAUGGAGCUCGUGGGGUUUUGGGAGGAGGCGAGGGGGAUGUGGAUUUGGUUGGGGAAAUCAAAGGGGAUGUGUGUUGUUUCCUUUGCCCUAACCAAGAACAAAGAUUAAUUAAGCUAAAUCUUACUCCAUGAUCCAUGCAUCAGCUAGGAGCUACCUUUGAAAUACUACUACUACUUGGCCAGCCGUGCCGUACAUGCUGCGUGGUUGACCGGUGGGGGUCCAAGCACCACUCAUCGGCCGGCCAUGAAUAUUCUUCUUGUCCUCUUCCUGCUCUCUCUCUCCAGUCCUAUAAUCCAUGCAUUCAUCUCACUAUGUAUAUAUAGGCUCAUUGCAAAUUAAACAGAUCAUAAAAAGCAAAGAUCAUCUGUUUUUUUUAUUUAGAUCAAGACGGUUCGACUCCCAUAAUUGAAUUAGAUGAAAAGACCAUCUGCUAAACGUUUGCCAAACAGAAGAACAUACAGUUCAUAUGCAAAACACUUUUAUUGUCGGAAAAAGCACAUUUUUUUGGUGUGUGUUCUAUCUAAUCAACUCUCUGUGUCUUAUGUGUUAUAUACUAUCUAAGUAAACUGUUUCCUGCAAAUUUUUCCGUGGCGCGGUCUCUAUUCCGCAUCCGCAAUAUAUCCUCUCAAUUUCUUCACAUAUAAAUUUCCAUGAAUUAAUUUGGUUUUCAUAGCAACGAGAUCCAAAAGGGCAUUAAUUAUCUGCCUGCCUGCCACAGUAAUUUUACUUCUUGGAUAUACACACAUAUAUAGUACACUUACUAUUGGCGACCUUGUCCUGGACGCAUAACUCCAUUGUUUGCUCGAACUUGUAAAACAGGUGGUCACGGAUAUAUCUACGUGGCACACGUAUGCAUGUCUAGUCCAAAUUAGCAUAUGGGUUGGCGGCAACAGCAUGCAUACAUGAAAGCAGCAACGGCUAGCUUUUAAUUUAGCAUGUCUGGUCAGUCACACACACACACACACACACACACACACACUAAUUUUCUCUCUUCUUUUUUCAAAAUUUGUACAGACAUUAUUAUGAAAAUUAGCAGUACUACACUGCCAGUACAGAGUACUACUGCUACUGCUAGGUCUCAUGAUCAAAGUUGCUAGCUUAGCUAGGUGUGCUGUAGAGCUGUAGGAGUGUAGUAGUAGCUUGCAAUGGUGUGGCUGCUGGCUUGACCAGAACUUUGAAAAAUGCAUGCAAUGCAUCUAUGCUUGGACAGCAGCAGUCUACUACUACAAGUACUUAUCACUCUACAUACAGUACACAGAACAGAGAUCAAAGUUGCUGCUGCUGUUGUUCUUCUGAAGCAGCAGCCAUGCAUGCAUAAGGCUGACAGACGGUGGUGUUCUGUAUUAUAGCGUAGCUGGUUCUCGUUUGAUUACUGCUGUCAAGAGAACCCCGUGCGAUGCUACGGAACAACGGAAAGUGUAUCAAGCACGAGCCGGUGGAGGCGAAGUCUGGACAUUGAUCAACCGGCGCUCCCCUUUGAGUUGAGAUCUGCAGGCGCCUCCUCAGCCUCGUCAACGACGGUGUGGUUCUCGCUUCCCAGCAGGGGUGGAGAUCUCCAGCGGGCUUCUGCUUCCCUGUCUCCGUCACGCCUUGUAUCCUCGAUGGGGGUCUCUGGGUCGGUGGUCAGGGGCCGGACGAAAUCCCUGCCCGGCUGCGUCCGGUGCCAACGACGGCGACGCCUACGGGCGCCUUUACCUCCUUGGAGGCGUGGUCGUGGCCCCUGACCAUUCCUUCUCCAUCCUCGGGCUCCAGGGGAAACCCUUGGUUCGGUUUGCCAUGGCUCCGAAUCAGGCAGCAGCAGCGACACCUUGGCAUCGUAUCCUCCUUGGAGGCACUGCUUUGGUAGCCCGUGGGAGUUCGAGUGUCGUGGCAUGAGAUGGCAGCCUCUCUAUUCUUGGCGGCGAGGCUUGGUGGUAGCGCGAAGCCGGUGUUGAUCCUCUGCUCUGGGCGUUGGACUUCAAGGCGCGAUGUUCGUCACUAUCGGUUCCCUAGAUGAUGCAUCCUUCCCAAUUCAGUCUGGUCCAUUCCUCUACUUGCCGACCGGGGCUUGAUCUGCUUCCAGAUUGGCCUCCCUUCUUAGGCGUAUUGUUGGGGGUUGGCCAGGGUGGUCUUGGUGUCAUGGUCGCAGAUUUGGGUGUCCUGCAGCUAUCGUGAAGCGGCCUUCAAGGUCUUGUGCUCUGCCUUCUUUGCCCUAGGGCUGGAGGUGGGCAAGGCGAGUCUCAUGUCAUUGUGGUUUGAAGCUUGGUGGUGUCUCUUUAACCUGCUCUGACCCCAAGUUGGCUCAAGAUCUGUUGGCUGUAGGUCUAGGCUAGCUAGGGCUCCGUCUUAGGUCGUCCGGAGAGGACGGUCAUGUUUUUUCUUGCUUGGCCUCGCCGUUGGCGGGUGCGGUGCAUAUGUUGUAAAUCUUGUAACUUUUGGUUACUCACGCUUCUUUGCGCUUUCUUCUUAAUGAAAAUGACAUGCUUCCAGGCGUGUUCGAGAAAAAAAAAUUAGAGUCUGUUUUGAGGAACAAAUUGGCAGUUAAAUGCUUGAAGUUCAGUUCAGUUUGCUGCUGGAAUAAAGAAGAAACAACAAUUUUGAAUUGCGAUGAGAUCUAUCGAAGAACACAGCUAGCUCAUAUAUAAUGCUCUCCAUGGAAUUUGGGGUGAAAAAGGGAAGGAAAGAAGAGGAAAGCUGAAAAGAGGCAACUAAAGGAGAUGCUAGUCAAGUGUUCUCCAAAUUUUGUGUUGAAUGGCGGCUAUAUUCAUGAGUAGCAGCAAGUAGCCUAACUAGUCAAGUGUCCUUGCUGUGAUGAAUUGAAGCAGGCAGGGCAGAGCAGAGCUGUGUGUCCUCCUAGAAGCUAUAGCUAGACCUGAAGAAAGUGCAUAUCCUCCUCUAUCACUUUUCUCACCGCCAAGUUGUAAAGGGGAGAAAGACAUGCAUGGAAACUGCAAAGUUGCCUCGCUUUUACAAACCAUUGCCUUUUUGCAGGAUCUGAUCUCUAUUUCCUUUCCUGUUACCUCUCCAUGCAGCUGCUAUGCUGCUAUAGUAGCGUAUGAUCUUGGCCAUCCAUGCAUUUCUCCGUCUUGUAGCUCGGCUCGGCUGCCUAAUUGCUGGCUAUGUUGGUUGCUUUCUGGAGACAGAGAGGGAGAAUAUGCUCCAUGUUGUCCAAAAGGGAAACGCAAAAUCAAUUGCAUCCACGGUGUGCAAGAAAAGGAGAAGGACAGAAAUGAAGGGAAGCUGUAUAACUUUAACACAGCUGCUAUACAACUAUACAAGAGAAGAAGCAGAGACUCUGACAUUGAACUUGAUCAUGGGCCAUUUGGAAUAUGCUCUGACAUGGAGGUGGUAAACAAGCUCAAUCGGUUUAUCAAAAACCAGCAAGGUACAAGCAAGGGUCCAGACACUGAAGAACUGAACAAAAAGCAAGAUAAACCAGGCGAGAGAACCGCCCAGCAAAGUUGCAGACGCUAAACUAUCAGAACAACUACAAGAGUCACAAAACAUCACGAUAAGAAACAGAAAGGCUCAUUUGUGUACUAAGAUGAUAUAACUUUGCAAUAAAAUUGGCUGUGCGCAUCGUUUCAUC